CACCAGAUAGUUCAGUUGGUAGAGAACCUGACUAGAGAUUCAGGUGGCCCAGGUUCAAAUUCUGGUCUGGUCU
RNAcentral lists this transfer RNA (73 nucleotides) under Magallana gigas (Pacific oyster). RNAcentral describes it as "Crassostrea gigas (Pacific oyster) tRNA". It matches the Rfam family "tRNA". Rfam says of the family: Transfer RNA (tRNA) molecules are approximately 80 nucleotides in length. Their secondary structure includes four short double-helical elements and three loops (D, anti-codon, and T loops). Further hydrogen bonds mediate the characteristic L-shaped molecular structure. tRNAs have two regions of fundamental functional importance: the anti-codon, which is responsible for specific mRNA codon recognition, and the 3' end, to which the tRNAs corresponding amino acid is attached (by aminoacyl-tRNA synthetases). tRNAs cope with the degeneracy of the genetic code in two manners: having more than one tRNA (with a specific anti-codon) for a particular amino acid; and 'wobble' base-pairing, i.e. permitting non-standard base-pairing at the 3rd anti-codon position. The record is from Rfam by way of RNAcentral. Lineage: Eukaryota; Metazoa; Mollusca; Bivalvia; Ostreida; Ostreidae.